GCAGUAGUAGCUCAGUUCUGAGAGCACCAGCCUUGUAAGCUGGGGGCCGGGGAAUAGCCACCCCCUACUGCAUU
RNAcentral lists this transfer RNA (74 nucleotides) under Uranoscopus sp. ZY-2022. RNAcentral's name for it is "tRNA-Thr". It matches the Rfam family "tRNA". From Rfam's summary of the family: Transfer RNA (tRNA) molecules are approximately 80 nucleotides in length. Their secondary structure includes four short double-helical elements and three loops (D, anti-codon, and T loops). The record is from RNAcentral. Lineage: Eukaryota; Metazoa; Chordata; Actinopteri; Uranoscopiformes; Uranoscopidae.